Molecule: non-coding RNA, 70 nt
Organism: Podarcis lilfordi (Lilford's wall lizard)
Lineage: Eukaryota; Metazoa; Chordata; Lepidosauria; Squamata; Lacertidae
Source: the annotation of a GenBank genome assembly
GGCAGUGGCUCAGUGGUAGAGAAUUUGCUCUACAUGCAGGAUGUUCCAGGUUCAAUUCCUGGCAAUGUCC